This 427-nucleotide ribosomal RNA is filed under the name Paramicromerys sp. DNA100437925. Its description in RNAcentral is "partial 16S ribosomal RNA". It matches the Rfam family "Archaeal large subunit ribosomal RNA", at positions 1921 to 2666 of the family's 2987-position model. The record is from RNAcentral. Lineage: Eukaryota; Metazoa; Arthropoda; Arachnida; Araneae; Pholcidae.
UUCUUUAAGAAAUUAUUUAAAGUAUUACCUGCUCAAUGUAAAUAUUAAUAGCCGCAGUUUAUACUGUGCUAAGGUAGCAUAAUAACUUGCUUUAUAAUUAAAAGAUAGAAUGAAUGGUUAAACGAUUAAACACUGUUUCUUAUUAAUAAAUAAAAUUAAUUUUGUGAUAAAAAACUCAUAAUAAAUAAACAAGACGACAAGACCCUAAUAAACUUAUUAUUUAGUUGGGGUGACAAAAAAAAUAAUCCUUAUUUAACUAAUAAUACCGCACCUUUAUUAAAAUAAAAGAAUAGUUACUAUAGGGAUAACAGCGUAAUAUUAUUCAAGAGUUCAUAUCAAAAAUAAAGAUUACGACCUCGAUGUUGAAUUAAUUAACCAGUAUAGCGCAAAAGCUAUAAAAGGAAGUCUGUUCGACUUAUAAAAAAUU